GCGUUUACCCUUGGUCAGUUAACCAAUAAUUACAUGUAUUAAAUAACGAUUUCCGUAUCUGAUAAUUUGAUAUGCAGUAAAAAAAAUAGUUCAAUUUUUCGCGUUUCCUUGGUGACUAUUUUUUUUUACAUGAAUAAAUAAACUUAGAAUUAUAUUAUAAGUUGUAGAUAUAUCAUAUAUUAUAUUAACCUGGUAGCUUUUGUCGAGUUGAGACAAAAGAAGUCCCCAAUAUGUAUACCAGCCACUGAUAUCAGCUUGCUGUGUCGUGUUCAAAUGUUUACGUCCAAUAACCCAUCGAACACUUAAUGACCGAUUUCCAGUACACCUGACCUUAGUCUAUUUUUACAGUUUUUUUCAAAAUAACAACUUAAGUAAAAUGUUUACUUAUAUUUUCAAAUCAGAAGCAAAAUACUCUGUGACAAUUGAAGAAAAAAUGUAGCGGUAUUACAGUGUUAACUUUUG
This 462-nucleotide long non-coding RNA is filed under the name Mytilus galloprovincialis (Mediterranean mussel). Lineage: Eukaryota; Metazoa; Mollusca; Bivalvia; Mytilida; Mytilidae. The record is from RNAcentral.